This 317-nucleotide ribosomal RNA is filed under the name uncultured eukaryote. RNAcentral's name for it is "partial 18S ribosomal RNA". It matches the Rfam family "Eukaryotic small subunit ribosomal RNA", at positions 1470 to 1796 of the family's 1831-position model. The record is from RNAcentral.
CCCUUAGAUGUUCUGGGCCGCACGCGCGCUACACUGAUCGGUGCAACAAGCAUCCGUCCUUGGCCGACAGGCCCGGGCAAUCUUUGAACGCCGGUCGUGAUGGGGAUAGACCUUUGCAAUUUUUGGUCUUCAACGAGGAAUUCCUAGUAAACGCAAGUCAUCAACUUGCAUUGAUUACGUCCCUGCCCUUUGUACACACCGCCCGUCGCACCUACCGAUUGAAUGGUCCGGUGAAACCUCCGGAUUGGCGCGUGCCCUCGGGCGCCGCCGAGAAGUUGGUUAAACCUUACCAUUUAGAGGAAGGUGAGGUCGUAACA